RNAcentral lists this unclassified non-coding RNA (205 nucleotides) under Hevea brasiliensis (rubber tree). The record is from RNAcentral. Lineage: Eukaryota; Viridiplantae; Streptophyta; Magnoliopsida; Malpighiales; Euphorbiaceae.
AAACAAUUCACAUUUGGGCAGACUUUCUCAUAUUUAAAAAUCCCGAAUGCAAUGUACCAAAAAAAUAGUAUCCCAAAUGCAGCUCCAUCAAUCUUCCUAUAUGUGGAUUGAAGCUAAGAUGUUUUCCCACGAAGAUUAGGGGCACAUAUCGGAUAUGAAAGGUGGACUUCAUUCGUAGAAAUAAAUCAUCUCCAACAAGCAUGGA